Molecule: ribosomal RNA, 459 nt
Filed under: Triticum aestivum (bread wheat)
Lineage: Eukaryota; Viridiplantae; Streptophyta; Magnoliopsida; Poales; Poaceae
Description: partial small subunit ribosomal RNA
Source: RNAcentral
AUGAUGUAUUGCAAACAUCGUAUUUGGACCUCGGAUAGGCGAGCGAGGCAUGAGUUGCAGGAUCGGCCUUCAGCAUGCUAUACGUGCCUCCAAGAGGAGGAUAAUGCGGAGCACAUCUUGGUCCAGUGCGUGUACACUAGGGAAGUGUGGCAUACCAUGUUUGAUGCUUUGAGCCUGCAGGCAAACAUCCCAGACGCGCAGGAUCACCUCUUGGGUUGGUGGUUGACACAGAGAGCUAGCCGGAGUAGGGGUUCCAAGAGGGGUUUUGAUACGGUUGUUAUUGCGGUCAUUUGGGCAUUAUGGAAGCAACGCAAUGCGAGAGUCUUCCACAGAACCAACCAGCAGUUGAACGCGACAGAUCUGGCUAACGCCAUUAUUGGUGAGUUGAAGGAGUGGAAGGCGGCAGGCUUAGGGGGAGGAGGUUUCUGUGGUUUCUAUGAGAGAGUAGGUUUAGGCUGA